CCUACGGGCGGCAGCAGUGGGGAAUAUUGGACAAUGGGCGAAAGCCUGAUCCAGCCAUGCCGCGUGUGUGAAGAAGGCCUUCGGGUUGUAAAGCACUUUCAGUGGGGAAGAAAGCCUUGGGGCUAAUACCCUCGAGGAAGGACAUCACCCACAGAAGAAGCACCGGCUAACUCCGUGCCAGCAGCCGCGGUAAUACGGAGGGUGCGAGCGUUAAUCGGGAUUACUGGGCGUAAAGCGCGCGUAGGCGGUCUGAUAAGCCGGUUGUGAAAGCCCCGGGCUCAACCUGGGAACGGCAUCCGGAACUGUCAGGCUAGAGUGCAGGAGAGGAAGGUAGAAUUCCCGGUGUAGCGGUGAAAUGCGUAGAGAUCGGGAGGAAUACCAGUGGCGAAGGCGGCCUUCUGGACUGACACUGACGCUGAGGUGCGAAAGCGUGGGUAGCAAACAGGAUUAGAUACCCGGGUAGUC
RNAcentral lists this ribosomal RNA (465 nucleotides) under Vreelandella stevensii. Its description in RNAcentral is "partial 16S ribosomal RNA". It matches the Rfam family "Bacterial small subunit ribosomal RNA", at positions 338 to 795 of the family's 1533-position model. Lineage: Bacteria; Pseudomonadati; Pseudomonadota; Gammaproteobacteria; Oceanospirillales; Halomonadaceae. The record is from RNAcentral.